Cynoglossus semilaevis (tongue sole) is the source of this 2600-nucleotide long non-coding RNA. RefSeq lists it as uncharacterized. The transcript has 3 exons. The record is from RefSeq and is a predicted model, not a curated record. NCBI's taxonomy places the organism in Eukaryota, Metazoa, Chordata, Actinopteri, Pleuronectiformes, Cynoglossidae.
UCAUUUGCUGCGUUUUCAGAUAGGAUUUUUGAGGUAGAGAUUAUUAAGAUUAGAAUUAGGGUUAAUGUAAGGAGCCAGGGGAAGUGGCAUGUGCUUGCAAAACACAAACACCAGCAUGUGUGUGUGUGUGUGUGUGUGUGGUUUCUGUAUUUCACCACCUUUGUCAAACACUCAGCUUGAAAGAGUUUUUUUUAGAAUUUCAUUAGAACGCCGCUCGCUGAUAAGAUUUACUGUCAAACAGUCGAGCACAAACUCUGUGUUUGUCGACUGACAAAACAUGUUCCUACUUCUUUGUUCUUCACUGUUUAACUGUGCAACAAGACUUUCUCCCAUAUAUAUCUGUGACCGCAGACACCGGGAAUAAGAACGUUUGUACUUUUAUGAACUCAUUCCACGUCUGCUUAUUCAGUUCCAGCUCCGUUGUCUCCGUGUUUGAUUGUAACACAUGCUCUUCUCUGUUCUUACAGCUGCUGUGAAACAAGUCUUUGUGUGUUCAUAAACACUGGCUCCAGGUGUGAGGAAUCAACCACGCAGCCUGCAGCCCUCAGGUAUCAGCUACGACUGGAAAACGCAACAAAAUUAACCCUCAACGUAUGCAGCACUGUCACUGCCUUCAAGAGUUUGACUCAGGACUAUUGUGGUUAACCAGGAGGGCUGUUUGUACCAUGAGGAAGUACCAGACCAGUUGAGCAGGAAAAGUAGGAGUUUACCAGGAAUAGUAGGGACUGGAGCAGGAAAGCUGAUCCAGGUGAGCUGCAGUACAAUGUCUCAGUAUGUAAACAAGCAGGUUUCAUAAUCCGUAGUCAGCGGGAAAUGUCUGCACUGCAUGUACUCUGAGUAUUUACUGGUAAAAGUACAGUGAUGGAAACGUAUAGUCAUUAAUUUGCUGCAUUUUAAUUUAACGCAGUGGUUCCAAUGUUUGGAGAGGGGAUACGCUAGAGGACGCAGGAGGUCAAAUUAAUUUCUCUCAACAACAGAGAGUUUGGGAAAUACUGCUUUAAUGCUUCAGAUUUGAAUCAAUCAAUCACAUCACAUGAUGGGUGUCGAUCAAAUCUGGGCUGUGGAGGCCGUGAUACAGAAACUUCAAUCAAUCCCUUCAGUCUGAACCAGACCUACAUGGUAAACUGUGCUACAUGGAUGGCUGCCACGCGUUUAGCUGAUAAAUAUUUGCAUUAAAAAGCAGUUGAACAGGUGUACUCAGUGACUGGAGUACGAUUGGUCACAAGUCAAAGCCAAUCACAUCCUUUUAAAAUGCCUUUGUAGUACAACUUCUAAAGUAAUACUACUCCUUGGCUACCGUGAUAGUGUUUAUCAGUAUCCAGAUACUCGUUCUUAAUGUUUGAAGUACUUCCAGUCACUAUCAGUGUUUUUCGAUGAACAUUUCAGGGCUCGCUUUAUGUAAAUUCAGAGUACGGAGUAGAAGGAAGACUUCUCCUGUAUUUGCAUUGGUGUGUGUUCCAAAACUUCACUCAAAUAAUAGGCAUUGUGUGUUGACAGCGUCAUGUGUUCCCAUGGCAGUUUUUGUAGAUACAAGUACAAGCGUGUGUGAGUGUGUGUGUGGUCUUGCAAAAGCAUCACAACUAGAUCUGUAACAAAGAAACUCAAACCAAAGUGUGUAUCUUUCAAUGUUAAACACACACUUCUCUAAGAGACAUCUUCAGCCUUUUGAAGGUCAAAGGUCAUGUUGUGGUUUACGUGUGUUUGUCAGUUUGAGGGCUUAUAGGCCCAGCCUUGUUAAUGUGUCUGCCCACAGGAACUAGUUUUGGUAAGUUCUGUAAUGUCGGUACUGUUGUGUGGUACUGUUGUGUGAAAUAGAUAAAUACAGUAUAGGGUGGAGGACACGUAUGGAUACCGUCAAAAUACUAGUGAUUCAAAAUCAUCUAAAUUUGAACAAAACUUUGUUUUAGGUUAAGAGUUUUGAAAAGUUUAAGUUUUAAAGCAUGAGGGCAAACGGUACCCUCUUGUGGCCAUAGACGGCAUCCAAAAUGUUUUUGAUCUAUUAUUCUCCUCAGAGUAAAUGUGUCAAGAGAUGGAUUUCAGUUUUUAAGUCUGUCAGUUUUUUUGUGUUAAGAUUUAAUGAUUUAUUCUUCAUAUAAAUGAAUCGAGUCACUGAUAAAUUCCAGUGCUUUAAUCCCAGAUGAAAACCUCAAAUGUAUUUUCCUAAAGUCUUGAACUGGUGAAUCAUGCCACCACUUGAUCACUUGAUCCAUGUUAUACUUGAGAAAAUAAAGUCUUUCACAAUGUGUAACUGCUUCCACGCGCUGCGCUCUCUGGCGUCAGACUGAUUGAACGGCUCUGAGUGCUGCUGAGCUUUUAUAGCCGUCUAUAAAAAGACGGCAGCAGGCUGAUUAUUAACUGUGAAUGCUGCUCCACUGCCCCGUAACUCUACACUACACACACACACAAAGGCUGGGACACACAUGAGUGAAGGUAAACUAAUGGGUGGGGAGGUAAACACAGGUCAGGGACCAGUCAUGUGAAACACUUACAGGUAAAACAAAGUUUUACUGGUGUCAACAAAUUAAAUAAAUAAACGUACUACGACAAGAAUGUAUGGAUCUUAAGGAAUGACUGUUUUGACGUAGUUUGUCUGUUAGUUA